AUAUCAGUCAUGCAUAGCAUAUCAAUAAGCGGAGGAAAAGAAACUAACAAGGAUUCCCUUAGUAACGGCGAGUGAAGCGGGAAGAGCUCAAAUUUGAAAUCUUCAAGGUUUUACCUUGACGAAUUGUAGUUUAAAGAAGUGUUUUCUGUUGAAGUUUUGGUAAAAGUUCUUUGGAAUAGGACAUCAUAGAGGGUGAGAAUCCCGUAUUUGACCAUUACUUUCAGCUUUGUGAUACACUUUCAAAGAGUCGGAUUGUUUGGGAAUGCAGUCCAAAAUGGGUGGUAAAUUUCAUCUAAAGCUAAAUAUUGGCGAGAGACCGAUAGCGAACAAGUACCGUGAGGGAAAGAUGAAAAGAACUUUGAAAAGAGAGUUAAACAGUACGUGAAAUUGUCAAAAGGGAAGCGUUUGACACCAGUGUUGUUUUCUCGAAAAUCAAUUAAAAAGAGUUGGAUUUUGUGUUGUAUUGACUUUAUCAGCUUUCUUCACUCUUCUCCAGCUUUUUUUAAUGCACUUUUCGUUUAACAAGUCAACAUCAGUUUCUUUUGUUGUAAAAAGGUCAUUGGAAGGUGGCUUUCUCUUCGGAGAAAGUGUUUAUAGCCUUUGACUCAUGCAAUCGGAGAGACUGAGGUCUGCAGCGUAGAUCCUUCGGGGUUAGAUACAGUUUGUGCUAAGUUAUAGCUUUUCAUAGACAACUUGUUGACUAUGUUUAGUCUUGUAGCUUACUCGCUUAUGCUAUUUUACCUACGCUUAGGAUGUUGAACUCUAUCACACACAG
RNAcentral lists this ribosomal RNA (775 nucleotides) under uncultured Neocallimastigales. RNAcentral describes it as "partial large subunit ribosomal RNA". It matches the Rfam family "Eukaryotic large subunit ribosomal RNA", at positions 22 to 621 of the family's 3401-position model. Lineage: Eukaryota; Fungi; Neocallimastigomycota; Neocallimastigomycetes; Neocallimastigales. The record is from RNAcentral.